AAGUCGUAACAAGGUAACCGUAGGUGAACCUGCGGUUGGAUCAUUAACAAAUUAUUUAGGCCCCUGGCUGCCCCAAAAGGGCGAAGGGGGGAAACCUAAACAUUUGUGUGCACCAUAUCUGUCUUUGGCAGUUCGAGUGUCCUGGGUGCGUAACUGCCUCAGGUACCUACCGAGGCUUACCCUUUUGGGGUUUGCCGGAGUUGGGCUGCCGCCUUUUUGAAAAAACCUUUUGUUCUUUUUUUGUUUUGUCUGAACUUCGUUUGAUCUUUAUGAUUGAAUUUUAAAUACAACUUUUGACAACGGAUCUCUUGGCUCUC
This 317-nucleotide unclassified non-coding RNA is filed under the name Rhizophlyctis rosea. RNAcentral's name for it is "partial internal transcribed spacer region". The stretch from base 1 to 46 matches the Rfam family "Eukaryotic small subunit ribosomal RNA", at positions 1786 to 1831 of the family's 1831-position model. Lineage: Eukaryota; Fungi; Chytridiomycota; Chytridiomycetes; Rhizophlyctidales; Rhizophlyctidaceae. The record is from RNAcentral.